AAGUCGUAACAAGGUUUCCGUAGGUGAACCUGCGGAAGGAUCAUUACCGAGUGCGGGCCCUCGCGGCCCAACCUCCCACCCUUGUCUCUAUACACCUGUUGCUUUGGCGGGCCCACCGGGGCCACCUGGUCGCCGGGGGACGCACGUCUCCGGGCCCGCGCCCGCCGAAGCGCUCUGUGAACCCUGAUGAAGAUGGGCUGUCUGAGUACUGUGAAAAUUGUCAAAACUUUCAACAAUGGAUCUCUUGGUUCCGGCAUCGAUGAAGAACGCAGCGAAAUGCGAUAAGUAAUGUGAAUUGCAGAAUUCCGUGAAUCAUCGAAUCUUUGAACGCACAUUGCGCCCCCUGGCAUUCCGGGGGGCAUGCCUGUCCGAGCGUCAUUUCUGCCCUCAAGCACGGCUUGUGUGUUGGGUGUGGUCCCCCCGGGGACCUGCCCGAAAGGCAGCGGCGACGUCCGUCUGGUCCUCGAGCGUAUGGGGCUCUGUCACUCGCUCGGGAAGGACCUGCGGGGGUUGGUCACCACCAUGUUUUACCACGGUUGACCUCGGAUCAGGUAGGAGUUACCCGCUGAACCUAAGCAUAUCAAUAAGCGGAGGA
RNAcentral lists this unclassified non-coding RNA (595 nucleotides) under Talaromyces pinophilus. RNAcentral's name for it is "sequence contains 18S rRNA gene, ITS1, 5.8S rRNA gene, ITS2, 28S rRNA gene". The stretch from base 225 to 378 matches the Rfam family "5.8S ribosomal RNA". Lineage: Eukaryota; Fungi; Ascomycota; Eurotiomycetes; Eurotiales; Trichocomaceae. The record is from RNAcentral.